Molecule: long non-coding RNA, 988 nt
Filed under: Homo sapiens (human)
Lineage: Eukaryota; Metazoa; Chordata; Mammalia; Primates; Hominidae
Description: lncAB240.2
Rfam family: Small nucleolar RNA SNORD49 (bases 579-649)
Source: RNAcentral
CUGGAGUCUGCGAAGGCCGGGACCCGGUUCCCCGGCCCACAGUGGGGGUGUGCAAACCCGAGAGAACUGGGAAGUGCCGUCAGAAGCGAUAACUGACGACGUCUAAUGUCUAUCUGACCGCAGUCGCUGAAACCUCUACAACUUAGUUGACCGUAACUGCCAGAGCCCUGCCCUGAAUUCCUGUCCUUACUCCCUCUUUAAGAUUGCGUACCCACUGCAGAGUGCUGAAGACGGGGUAGCCACGAGGUGAGAGGCUCUCUGGUGUAGGGUUUAACAUGGAACGUAGUUUUGUCACUUGAAUGCACGGAAAUUGGCGUUUUGACAGUUUUCUACGUUUAGGUGUUUUAUACACUUUAGGGUAACGUUAUCAUGUCAUUGCAUAGGGUGGAACUUAAAUAGAAACUGGAGAUGGCUGCUUCAGCCACAGUCCUAACCUAGAACUGCAUUUAAAGCAAACUGAUAAUGCAGAAACAAACUCCUUCGUUAAGAAAUGUCUCCAGUAGCAGGGUUAGCUUAAGUUUCAGGUAGGGUCUAGAUCUGCGGUUGGAACAGUACUGGAGGGUUGUGAGGUGCUUGACUGCUCUGAUGAAAUCACUAAUAGGAAGUGCCGUCAGAAGCGAUAACUGACGAAGACUACUCCUGUCUGAUUGCAGUCAAGUCUUCACCACUUGCUGGUUCCCAGGAGUAAACUUGUUUGAACGGUGACCUAAUUGCUAUAUUCACCUAGGUUGCAAAUUCGUGAAGAAUCAGCAUCAUGUUUGGCAGCUGAGUAUUGGAGCCAGGAGCCUGCCAUGAGGUUUUGAGAACAGAGUGCUGUUUUAGAGCUGGCAGCAGCAUCUCAGCCCAAGAGAAGGUUAUAUUCCCAGAGGAUGUCAGUCCCAAGGACCAGUAGCUGCCAUCAGUUUGGAUUCUGAAAACUAACUGGCAUCAACACUGGGUGUAGAAACAUGCUUGCCUUAUGUAUCAGAGGACAUGCUCAGCAGAUCCA